This 292-nucleotide ribosomal RNA is filed under the name uncultured bacterium. Its description in RNAcentral is "partial 16S ribosomal RNA". It matches the Rfam family "Bacterial small subunit ribosomal RNA", at positions 505 to 796 of the family's 1533-position model. The record is from RNAcentral.
GUGCCAGCCGCCGCGGUAAAACGUAGGAGCCAAGCGUUAUCCGAAUUUACUGGGCGUAAAGCGCGUGCAGGUGGCUCGAUAAGUUGGCUGUGAAAUCGCCUGGCUCAACUGGGCGAGGCCGGUCAAGACUGUCGGGCUAGAGGGCAGUAGAGGGAGGUGGAAUUCCCGGUGUAGUGGUGAAAUGCGUAGAGAUCGGGAGGAACACCAGUGGCGAAAGCGGCCUCCUGGACUGCACCUGACGCUCAGACGCGAAAGCUAGGGGAGCGAACGGGAUUAGAUACCCUAGUAGUCC